AGAAUCAACGCUGGCGGCGUGCCUAACACAUGCAAGUCGAACGAGAAAGUGGAGCAAUCCAUGGGUAAAGUGGCGCACGGGUGAGUAACACGUGACUAACCUACCCUUGAGUGGGGGAUAACCUAGAGAAAUCUGGGCUAAUACCGCAUAAUACCUUCGGGUCAAAGGAGCAAUUCGCUUAAGGAGGGGGUCGCGGCCGAUUAGUUAGUUGGCGGGGUAAUGGCCCACCAAGACUGUGAUCGGUA
This 245-nucleotide ribosomal RNA is filed under the name uncultured bacterium. RNAcentral describes it as "partial small subunit ribosomal RNA". It matches the Rfam family "Bacterial small subunit ribosomal RNA", at positions 26 to 285 of the family's 1533-position model. The record is from RNAcentral.